This 375-nucleotide ribosomal RNA is filed under the name Triticum aestivum (bread wheat). RNAcentral describes it as "partial small subunit ribosomal RNA". Lineage: Eukaryota; Viridiplantae; Streptophyta; Magnoliopsida; Poales; Poaceae. The record is from RNAcentral.
AUGUUUGGAUUGAAGUUUGGUCGGGUGCGAGUGCACGGGAUGAGGUGCGCCAACCCCAAAUCUGAUGCUAUCUCUUCUAAAUAUCCAAUCAACUUCCACCUACGUUUCACUUUGCCAUGCUAUUCCUCAAUUGCUUUGUCAUGCUCUUCUCAAAUCGCUAGUUUAGCCUUUCGAUUAUUCUCUGGUUCGCUCAAAAAAGUGAGGCAGAACAAUCUGUCAGAACAGGUUUACGUAAAGCUCCUGUGCAUUGAUGAACUCUCCUCUUGUUUUUCUUUGAUCUCUAAUUGUAGUUCAGCAUUUAUUUUCUCUCAAUCAUUACAACUUGUUAUUUUGAGAAGUGACUCUGUUCUGGAUGUUGGACAUAACUUCAGAUAA